GACGAACGCUGGCGGCGUGCUUAACACAUGCAAGUCGAACGGAAAGGCCCUGCUUUUGUGGGGUGCUCGAGUGGCCAACGGGUGAGUAACACGUGAGUAACCUGCCCUUGACUUUGGGAUAACUUCAUGCCACUGGUGCUAAUACCGGAUAGGAGCUCCUGCUGCAUGGUGGGGGUUGGACAGUUUCGCUGGUUGGGGAUGGUCUCGCGGCUUAUCAGCUUGUUGGUGGGGUUGUGGCUUACCAAGGCUUGGACGGGUAGACGGUCUGAGAGGGUGGCCGGCCAAGUUGGGUCUGGGAUGCGGCCCAGACUCCUACGGGAGGCAGCGGUGGGGAAUGUUGCACAGUGGGCGGAAGCCUGAUGCAGCAACGCCGCGUGCGGGAAAACGGCCUUCGGGUAGGAAACCGCUUUCGCCUGUGACGAAGCGUGAGUGACGGUAAUGGGUAAAGAAGCACCGGCUAACUACGUG
Molecule: ribosomal RNA, 468 nt
Filed under: uncultured bacterium
Lineage: Bacteria
Description: partial 16S ribosomal RNA
Rfam family: Bacterial small subunit ribosomal RNA
Source: RNAcentral